AGAGUAGGCGUGGUGCGUCAAGUGCCUUGGGAUGGGAGGUCGCCCAAGGACGAAGGAAAGUCGAUCUUUCCGCGGUACCCCGUCGCAGCCGCU
This 93-nucleotide non-coding RNA is filed under the name pig gut metagenome. RNAcentral describes it as "THF riboswitch". It matches the Rfam family "THF (Tetrahydrofolate) riboswitch aptamer". From Rfam's summary of the family: THF riboswitch presents a pseudoknot that joins P1-P2 and the loop of P3 and two THF binding. The record is from RNAcentral.